GCUGCGGUUGCCAUGGCGUCCUCCGAGCGCGCAGGCGUGGGCCCAGGGUCGCUUUUCCGGUAUUUGCUGCAGUCUCUCGGGAUAGCUGGUAACCUUUGCUUGCUGAGCUUCGCGCCCUGCGUCCUCUGGUCUUCAGCAACUUGCAGUGCAGCCGUCCCGCAUGAGGCCCUCCAGCGAAUGCUCUAAAGCUCCGGAGUUGCUCCGGAGGAAAGCAGGCUUGCCCCGAGAGUCCACGUCCUUACUGCCCGUGCCGUCGUGGUACCUUGAGGGCACCCUUCUGGGAAGAUCCUUGCAGAGGCCAUGUCCCCUCUCCACGACAUCUAAGCCCAGUCCCAACUUGCUUUUCACGCCUGUCCCCCCGGGAAACGUCUACUGGACCUCAGGACAGCCCCUCACCCCCGUGCAUUCCCGAGGUGAAUCUGCAGCGAAGCCUCUGUGGUGACUCACAGUUGCUAGCAUUGGUUAUCUUCUUCCUGGCAGAAGGUGGCAGGCUGAUGCUGGCCUCGUUCCUGUGUGUCUGACAGACCACAAAUGUGAAUUCAGAUCGUCACAGCUGAGUCAUGCUCAGGAUUUCCAUGAGCCCUGCUGGGGUGGCCAGCUGAGCUUCCUUCCCCACAGCCCCCUCCAGCUCUGCAGCACCAGGCACCAGUGUGACUCAUGGGGGCCUGUGGAAGCCGGGGCUGCUCAGCGGGGCUGAGUCUAGGAGGGGGAGAGAGAAAGGGAGCCCAGCAACAAUUACAGCGCAAACGCCGCAGCUGCCACCACCGAGUGCCUCCAGUUGGGAACUGGUUUGUGAAAUUCAUUACCCUAUGAGAUGAGUUUUAUCUCUGUUUCACUCCAGAGGAUUCUGAAGCUCAGGAGGUUGUGAAUGACUCCGGGAAGCACAGCUGAUAGCUGUACUCUUCACAUGUCCUUGCUUCAAGAAACUGGUUGAAGACCACCCUUCCUCCAGCCUUGCGGCCUUGAGGGUGUGGUGAGACACCAGGACCACACAGCCUUGGGAUCAAAGCUGUGCCUGAUGUGAUACAGGUCUCCAUAAAGGUUUGCCAAACAAGCAAGUUAGUGCUUACAAUUUCCCAUGACUGUCACUCAGCUUACCUGUGCCUAAAUAACUUGCCCAUCGCUUAAGAGAGAAACCCCAUAAAUGUCCUUUGAUCCAUUUAUGCCCCAAGACUGUUGUCAUUGUCAUUGUCGUUAUUGUCAUGUUCUCAAAUAUUUUUGCCUGAAGAGUUUUCCUGUCUGAGGACUCUUCACACGAAGAGGAAUUGCUUCUCAUUCUUCCUGUUGAAAUUACUCUCAAAUCUUUUCUGACAGAGUUGCAAACACACUGACAGCUCCCGAAUGAUCUGAUACAGGAUCCUUAAUAGGCAUGGAAGUGUUCGCCAGACAGAGAGGUCCUGCCCUUGCCGAUCUGAGCUGGUUCUGUGUUAGAGACUCCGUGGGCGUCUGUUUGACAGGAUCUGCCAGGAGCGGUAGAAUAACGUUCCUGAUCUGGAAGAGCAAAUCUCAGAUAUUUUGCACGUUUGCAGAACCUACCCCUAGGAGUGGGAGGAGACCACAACCAAAGAAACAAAUGAAGACACAGAAUAUCAGAUGAAGAGCAGCUACACAGAUAGAGUCUUGUGCUGUUGCCUAGGUUGGAGUACAGUGGUGUGAACGUGGCUCACUGUGGCUUCAACUACCCAGGCUCAAGCAAUCCUUCCACUUCAGCCUCCCAUGUAGCUGGGACUACAGAGGCCUGGGCACGUACAGCACAAGCGUGAGGCAUGACAGGCGCAGCGUGCAACGUCCCCUGGCAAUGAGGGUGGGGCUGGUGAGUAUCACUCUCCUGGAGAGAGAAAGAAAGUCAUGAGAUUAAGAGGCAUACCUUUGAAUGGUUUCCCUAAAAUAUAAAAUAUUUCAAAUACACAGAAAAGUUUAUAACACACAACACAUUCCCCACCCAACUCUCUUGAGUGCUAACAUUUUGUCACACUUGCUUUCUAUUUUGUUAAGAAACAAAACAACACACAUCCCAUCAAAGCUCCUAGAAUACCCUUCCACGACCCUUUCUCUUCCCUGUUUUUCACCCAGAGGUAACCAUCAGCUCCAAUUUUGUGUCUACCUUAAAAUUACAAAAUUCAAUUUUGUGGCAUUCAAAAAUGACACUUAACAUCCCACGUGUGAAUCCAUCUUUUUGCAUGUUUUCAAAAUUUAUUUUAUUGAUGACAUGCUGUAUGUAUUUUUUUCUAUUACGAAUAAUGCAAUGAACUUUCUUGUGCCAUUUUCCCUAUGGAACUUCUGCAAAAGUUUCUUAUUACUUUCUUACAUGUGGAACUGCUGGAUCAAAGAGCAAAUAUUUUCUUUCCAGAGGUAUUGUACCAAAUUCCCCUUCAAAUCUCCAGGGAUAAGAAGUCCCUGUGCUCUGUAUCUGCACUUACGUUGAGAUUGUUAGUCUUCUAAAUGUUUUCCAUUUGAUGGCUAUGAAAUGACAUUUCAUACUGCUUUGAUUUGUAGUUUCUUAUUUAGUAGCUAUAUUGAACAUCUUUUUAUGUUUCCUGGCUUUGUAUUUUUUUUCUCUUAUGAAUGGUCUGUUGAUAUCUUUUGCCUUUUAUUUUUA
Chlorocebus sabaeus (green monkey) is the source of this 2599-nucleotide long non-coding RNA. RefSeq lists it as uncharacterized. The record is from RefSeq and is a predicted model, not a curated record. Lineage: Eukaryota; Metazoa; Chordata; Mammalia; Primates; Cercopithecidae.